RNAcentral lists this long non-coding RNA (1220 nucleotides) under Salvia miltiorrhiza (redroot sage). RNAcentral's name for it is "long non-coding RNA (SMIL_LNC004840)". Lineage: Eukaryota; Viridiplantae; Streptophyta; Magnoliopsida; Lamiales; Lamiaceae. The record is from RNAcentral.
CAAGAGGAAUCCACAUUGAUUUGUAGUAAUCCACAUUGGAACCAAAAAAAGAUAAAUGUACGCCUUUUGAGAUAGAUUGGACGGCUCAAGCUCACGGGUUUUGCAAACAAGAAUUUGACCCAAUGAGUACAAGAGGAAUUCACGGCUUUUGUAAUUCACGGGUUUUGAAAGAAGAAUCUCACGCCCACAGGAUGCAAAACCCGACGAUUGACCUCACGACCGAGGUUGGUUAUUUUCUGAAGCAGUUUUUACAUUUAAUCAUUUUUUUACUUAAUACUAAUAUUAAAAUAUGUGCAGGUUGUUGAUAUGUACAUGAUGACGUUGAGGCAUAGGUUGAUGGCGCAUGCUGACUUGAUAGAUGGGAUUGAUGACAGGACCCUGUCAUAUUGGAUACAGAAUUCUUCGUAAGCAUUAAUUAUUCUGCGCUUACAAUCAAAUAUUCCAUUAAUAUAAUGGUUUUUUUUUAAACAGAUAUAUUUGGAAAAGGAAUUCAAGAUCCUCAUGGAUGCUGCUCGUGCAAUGUUCCCCGAUAAGAAAGAAACAAGGAUUUUGGAAAGUGACAUGCCUUAUCGUAACUGGCUCCCGCACCCCAACCGCUUGUAUGCAGUGUAUGGCCAACGAACCUCGUCGACUCAAAAUGAUUGGAUGGAUGCCACACAGGUACUCAUAUAUGCCUACAUUAUAAAUGCUUUCGAAGCUGUUGAUCAAUGAAGUGUUAACCAUUUGUAUUUGCAUGGCAGUCAUUAUGCCUAUAUUGAUAGACGACCGUUUCAUUACCUGUAGAGUGGAUAUGCUCACGGGUAACUGUGACGUCUUCGACGCUCAGUGGUUCAAAACGUUGGCCAACCGCGCCGGACCCAGCUGAUCCAACUGAAGCGCUGCAAUGCCUUUUUAGUAGGCUGCUUGACGUGGCUUACUGGUUUGAGAGGACGAGGAUUGUCCAUAACCCAAUAGAGAACCUCAGCUGGCGUAAAUUGAACAUCCGCUACGCCGAUAUGACUGAAGUGUUUCACCAGCCUGACCAGUGCAGCUCUGGUGUCUAUGCGUGCAUGUCUGUGGAGCAUUUGAUUUCAGGGUCGCCGAGCAUUACGUGGGGCGAUCAGCAUGCCACUGACUAUAGGCGCAAGAUAGGCAGUAGCAUCUACGAGUUUUGCGUACCAUAGAUAGUUGAUUAUGUAGUUUUGACAUUUUUAUGACUAUUUUAUGAAAAAACAAUCCUA